This 345-nucleotide unclassified non-coding RNA is filed under the name soil metagenome. RNAcentral's name for it is "partial contains 5.8S ribosomal RNA, internal transcribed spacer 2, and large subunit ribosomal RNA". The stretch from base 1 to 120 matches the Rfam family "5.8S ribosomal RNA", at positions 35 to 154 of the family's 154-position model. The record is from RNAcentral.
GAUGAAGAACGUAGCGAAAUGCGAUACGUAAUGUGAAUUGCAGAAUUCAGUGAAUCAUCGAGUCUUUGAACGCACAUUGCGCCCCCUGGUAUUCCGGGGGGCAUGCCUGUCCGAGCGUCAUUGCUGCCCUCUAGCACGGCUUGUGUGUUGGGCCUCCGUCCUCCUCCCGGGGGACGGGCCCGAAAGGCAGCGGCGGCACCGCGUCCGGUCCUCGAGCGUAUGGGGCUUCGUCACCCGCUCUUGUAGGCCCGGCCGGCGCUUGCCGACACAUCAAUCUUUUUUCCAGGUUGACCUCGGAUCAGGUAGGGAUACCCGCUGAACUUAAGCAUAUCAAUAAGCGGAGGA